Molecule: long non-coding RNA, 330 nt
Filed under: Homo sapiens (human)
Lineage: Eukaryota; Metazoa; Chordata; Mammalia; Primates; Hominidae
Description: long non-coding RNA NONHSAT211178
Source: RNAcentral
AAAGAACGUCACCCCCAAUGCUGUCACUCACUAAAUGGAGCAUCUCAGGAGGAGAGAUGCUGCAGCCAGUCUCAGAGGAAGGAUCUCAGUCUCCUGGACAUAUCUGUUGCUUUCUUUCACUUGGUGAUAGACAAGCCACGAUCUCAUUUCAAAGCCUUCAGUUAGGCUAUGGGAUGCUACCUUCAAAAUCAAGCUUCUCUUAGAUCUAUAUAGAGGUGGAACACAACAUGAAGAUUGGAUAUCUAAUAUUGGCCUGAGGUUUUCUUUGUUCUGGGAAGUAAUCACUGGAGCGACUCUCUUGGUAUGACAUGCAUGGCUGCAGAGUUCCUC